ACAACGGUAAGCUUGUAAUAAUGUUUUAUAAUAAGAGCAACAUGGUGGAUUUCCGCGGGAAAUUUGAGCAUGCAGCAGUUCGUCUGUGCGUCAUUACGUCACGUCUGUAAACAGAAAGGAAGGAGGCUAAUCAGUUUUAUCAUGUGAGGACGCAGCUGGUAGCGGAUCAUUUAUAGCCUUUUCUCACAGCAGCUGAAAUAAUUAAGCUUAUCAUUUUGAUGGCGGAUUGUAAUCCAGAAAGAUCCAAAUGACAAUCAUCAGUGACAACAUGAGUGAUUGUCAAAUCAUCAGCAAUCAUCAGCAAAAGAUUGUGGACUGUGGAGUGGCUACAGAAAUCGAAAUCUACAGAAGGUGAGAUGCUUGGUGUGUGACAAGGAACUUGUGUAUGGAAACAGCACAUCAUCCAUGCUAACUCCUCUUUACAUGAGACUGCACAGCCCCAGAACAACCCUACAAGCACACAAACAUCUCGCAAGCAAAUGGUUGAUGAGGCAUUGGUCAACAUGGUCAUAAAAGACUCUCAGCCAUUUUCAGUGGUUGAGGAUGAGGGUUUCAGGGAUUUAUCCAUGCCCUUGAUCCUUCCUAUAUAAUCCCAAACAGACAGGCUUUAAAGAAAAUGGUGGCUUUAAAAUAUGAAGAAGCAAAGAGGAAAGCCAAGGCUGAGAUGGAAAAAGCAACUGCUGUGUCUCUAACAUCAGAUAUGUGGACUUCUAUCAACACAGAUGCAUAUCUUGCAAUAACCUGCCAUUACAUUGAUGACAGUGAUAAGAUGAAUACAGUGUUGUUGGAUGUUGAGAAGUUCCCAGACAGACACACAGCGGAAAAUAUAUUUUUGUCCUCACACUUCUUAGGUGGAAAUCUUUGGCUUCUGUUGGACAGUGCUGUAGACCACAGCAAACAAAGUUCAAAUGCCACUUCUGAUGCGAUCGUACAAGUUGAUAGAUACCUUACAGAGACAAACAUACAAAGAGCUGAAGAUCCACUUGAAUACUGGAGAACGCAGAAACAUGUUUACCCCCUUCUAUAUACAUUGGCAUUACAGUUUCUGUGUACCCCGGCCUCUUCUGUACCAUGUGAAAGAGUGUUCUCUAAGGCCGGGGAAGUACUGUCUAAGAGGAGAAAUAGACUCAGCCCCAACACUGUGAAACAGCUUUUAUUUCUCAAUAAAAAUAAUUAACACAA
Long non-coding RNA from Megalobrama amblycephala (Wuchang bream), 1182 nucleotides. RefSeq lists it as uncharacterized. The record is from RefSeq and is a predicted model, not a curated record. NCBI's taxonomy places the organism in Eukaryota, Metazoa, Chordata, Actinopteri, Cypriniformes, Xenocyprididae. The transcript has 4 exons.